RNAcentral lists this signal recognition particle RNA (280 nucleotides) under Aotus nancymaae (Ma's night monkey). RNAcentral's name for it is "Metazoan signal recognition particle RNA (ENSANAG00000007784.1)". It matches the Rfam family "Metazoan signal recognition particle RNA". Rfam says of the family: The signal recognition particle (SRP) is a universally conserved ribonucleoprotein. It is involved in the co-translational targeting of proteins to membranes. The record is from RNAcentral. Lineage: Eukaryota; Metazoa; Chordata; Mammalia; Primates; Aotidae.
GCCUGUAGUCCCAGCUACUCGGGAGGCUGAAGCUGGAGGAUCGCUUGAGUCCAGGAGUUCUGGGAUGUAGUGUGCUAUGCUGAUUGAGUGUCCGCAUUAAGUUCGGCAUCAAUAUGGUGGCCUCCUGGGAGUGGGGAACCACCAGGUUGCCUAAGGAGGGGUGAACUGGCCCAGGUCGGAAAUGGAGCAGGUCAAAACUCCCGUGCUGAUCAGUAGUGGGAUCGAGCCUGUGAAUAGCCACUGCACUCCAGCCUGGGCAACAUAGCAAGACCCUGUCUCU